CAAGAUAUAGUUUAAAAAAUAUUAAUUUUGGAGAUUAAAGUUAUUAGAGUUAAUUUUCUUGA
This 62-nucleotide transfer RNA is filed under the name Lasioglossum calceatum. RNAcentral's name for it is "tRNA-Pro". Lineage: Eukaryota; Metazoa; Arthropoda; Insecta; Hymenoptera; Halictidae. The record is from RNAcentral.